UAUGAACCGUUAUAGCCGGCGAUGUCCGAAUGGGGAAACCCAGUGCAAUUCGUUGCACUAUCGUUAACUGAAUACAUAGGUUAACGAGGCGAACCGGGGGGAACUGAAACAUCUAAGUACCCCGAGGAAAAGAAAUCAACCGAGAUUCCCCCAGUAGCGGCGAGCGAACGGGGAGCAGCCCAGAGUCUGAAUCAGCUUGUGUGUUAGUGGAACGGUCUGGAAAGUCCGACGGUACAGGGUGAUAGUCCCGUACACCAAAAUGCACAGGCUGUGAACUCGAAGAGUAGGGCGGGACACGUGGUAUCCUGUCUGAAUAUGGG
This 320-nucleotide ribosomal RNA is filed under the name Klebsiella pneumoniae. RNAcentral describes it as "bacterial LSU rRNA". It matches the Rfam family "Bacterial large subunit ribosomal RNA", at positions 89 to 448 of the family's 2925-position model. The record is from RNAcentral. Lineage: Bacteria; Pseudomonadati; Pseudomonadota; Gammaproteobacteria; Enterobacterales; Enterobacteriaceae.